RNAcentral lists this ribosomal RNA (467 nucleotides) under uncultured bacterium. RNAcentral describes it as "partial 16S ribosomal RNA". It matches the Rfam family "Bacterial small subunit ribosomal RNA", at positions 28 to 506 of the family's 1533-position model. The record is from RNAcentral.
GACGAACGCUGGCGGCGUGCUUAACACAUGCAAGUCGAACGGAAAGGCCCUGCUUUUGUGGGGUGCUCGAGUGGCGAACGGGUGAGUAACACGUGAGUAACCUGCCCUUGACUUUGGGAUAACUUCAGGAAACUGGGGCUAAUACCGGAUAGGAGCUCCUGCUGCAUGGUGGGGGUUGGAAAGUUUCGGCGGUUGGGGAUGGACUCGCGGCUUAUCAGCUUGUUGGUGGGGUAGUGGCUUACCAAGGCUUUGACGGGUAGCCGGCCUGAGAGGGUGACCGGCCCCAUUGGGGGAGAGAGACGCCCCAGACACCCCCGGGGGGGAGAGGGGGGGAAAAUUGCGCAAAGGGGGGGGGCCCGAGGCGGAAACGCCCCGGGCGGGGGAGGGGGCUUCGGGUGUUAAAACCCUUUCGCGCGUGACGAAACGUGAGUGAGGGGAUUGGGGGAAGAAACACCCGGUAUCAACGC